RNAcentral lists this ribosomal RNA (429 nucleotides) under Bacteroidota bacterium. RNAcentral describes it as "Bacteroidetes bacterium partial 16S ribosomal RNA". It matches the Rfam family "Bacterial small subunit ribosomal RNA", at positions 355 to 776 of the family's 1533-position model. Lineage: Bacteria; Pseudomonadati; Bacteroidota. The record is from RNAcentral.
UAGGGAAUCUUCGGCAAUGGGGGGAACCCUGACCGAGCAACGCCGCGUGAGUGAAGAAGGUUUUCGGAUCGUAAAGCUCUGUUGUUAAGGAAGAACGAGUGUGAGAAUGGAAAGUUCAUACUGUGACGGUACUUAACCAGAAAGGGACGGCUAACUACGUGCCAGCAGCCGCGGUAAUACGUAGGUCCCGAGCGUUGUCCGGAUUUAUUUGGCGUAAAGCGAGCGCAGGCGGUUAGAUAAGUCUGAAGUUAAAGGCAGUGGCUCAACCAUUGUAGGCUUUGGAAACUGUUUAAAGUGAGUGCAGAAGGGGAGGGUGGAAUUCGAUGUGUAGCGGUGAAAUGCGAAGAUAUAUGGAGGAACACCGGUGGCGAAAGCGGCUCUCUGGUCUGUAACUGACGCUGAGGUUCGAAAGCGUGGGGAGCGAACAGG